CCCUUAGAUGUUCUGGGCCGCACGCGCGCUACACUGACACGUUCAUCAAGUCUAUAACCUUGACCGAGAGGUCUGGGUAAUCUUUUAAAAACGUGUCGUGCUGGGGAUAGAUUAUUGCAAUUAUUAAUCUUCAACGAGGAAUUCCUAGUAAACGCAAGUCAUCAACUUGCAUUGAUUACGUCCCUGCCCUUUGUACACACCGCCCGUCGCUACUACCGAUUGAAUGAUUUAGUGAGUACCAGGGACCGAGCGCUUUGGUUGGGUUUCCUUCCCUAGCGCUUGGGAACUGGCGCAAACUUGACCAUUUAGAGGAAGUAAAAGUCGUAACA
This 329-nucleotide ribosomal RNA is filed under the name uncultured eukaryote. Its description in RNAcentral is "partial 18S ribosomal RNA". It matches the Rfam family "Eukaryotic small subunit ribosomal RNA", at positions 1470 to 1796 of the family's 1831-position model. The record is from RNAcentral.